GACGAACCGUCCAAACGUUAUUCGGAAUCACUGGGCUUAAAGGGUGCGCAGGCGGCGCGGCAAGUUGGAUGUGAAAGCCCUCGGCUCAACCGAGGAAUUGCGUCCAAAACUGCCGUGCUUGAGUGAGGCAGAGGUGAGCGGAACUUAGGGUGGAGCGGUGAAAUGCGUUGAUAUCCUAAGGAACACCGGUGGCGAAAGCGGCUCACUGGGCCUCAACUGACGCUCAUGCACGAAAGCUAGGGUAGCGAACGGGAUUAGAUACCCUGGUA
Molecule: ribosomal RNA, 269 nt
Filed under: uncultured prokaryote
Description: partial 16S ribosomal RNA
Rfam family: Bacterial small subunit ribosomal RNA
Source: RNAcentral